RNAcentral lists this ribosomal RNA (405 nucleotides) under uncultured prokaryote. Its description in RNAcentral is "bacterial SSU rRNA". It matches the Rfam family "Bacterial small subunit ribosomal RNA", at positions 355 to 774 of the family's 1533-position model. The record is from RNAcentral.
UGGGGAAUAUUGGGCAAUGGGCGAAAGCCUGACCCAGCAACGCCGCGUGAGGGAAGAAGGUCUUCGGAUUGUAAACCUCUGUCCUAUGGGACGAAACAAAUGACGGUACCAUAGGAGGAAGCCCCGGCUAACUACGUGCCAGCAGCCGCGGUAAUACGUAGGGGGCAAGCGUUGUCCGGAAUUACUGGGCGUAAAGGGUGCGUAGGCGGUUGCCUAAGUCAGAUGUGAAAUCCCCGGGCUUAACUCGGGUGGUGCAUUUGAAACUGGGUGGCUAGAGUGCAGGAGAGGGAAGCGGAAUUCCUAGUGUAGCGGUGAAAUGCGUAGAUAUUAGGAGGAACACCAGUGGCGAAGGCGGCUUUCUGGACUGUAACUGACGCUGAGGCACGAAAGCGUGGGGAGCAAACA